Ipomoea nil (Japanese morning glory) is the source of this 212-nucleotide long non-coding RNA. RefSeq lists it as uncharacterized. The transcript is spliced from 3 exons. The record is from RefSeq and is a predicted model, not a curated record. Lineage: Eukaryota; Viridiplantae; Streptophyta; Magnoliopsida; Solanales; Convolvulaceae.
CUCACUGCUCUUGCAUCUGGGUGAAGAAGACACACCGCCGUUUCCACUACGAUCGCUCCGUGACACUACUGCCGAUUCCACUUCGAGAAGACUGUAAUUUUCACAAGAACAUCGCACUCUGCCUCUCUGAUUUAAUCUCUGCAAAAUUCUAGUGGAAGUCAUCCAAAGGACCCAAGCUUACAAGAGAAGAUUCAUGUCCAGGUAAAUACAAA